This 308-nucleotide ribosomal RNA is filed under the name uncultured bacterium. Its description in RNAcentral is "partial 16S ribosomal RNA". It matches the Rfam family "Bacterial small subunit ribosomal RNA", at positions 505 to 809 of the family's 1533-position model. The record is from RNAcentral.
GAGACAGCAGUAGCCACGGUAAUACGUAGGUGGCAAGCGUUGUCCGGAAUUAUUGGGCGCAAAGGGCUCGCAGGCGGUUACUUAAGUCUGAUGUGAAAGCCCCUGGCUCAACCGGGGAGGGUCAUUGGAAACUGGGAAACUUGAGUGCAGAAGAGGAGAGUGGAAUUCCACGUGUAGCGGUGAAAUGCGUAGAGAUGUGGAGGAACACCAGUGGCGAAGGCGACUCUCUGGUCUGUAACUGACGCUGAGGAGCGAAAGCGUGGGGAGCGAACAGGAUUAGAUACCCGAGUAGUCCCUGUCUCUUAUAA